This 484-nucleotide ribosomal RNA is filed under the name uncultured bacterium. RNAcentral describes it as "partial 16S ribosomal RNA". It matches the Rfam family "Bacterial small subunit ribosomal RNA", at positions 30 to 507 of the family's 1533-position model. The record is from RNAcentral.
AUUGAACGCUGGCGGCAGGCCUAACACAUGCAAGUCGAGCGGAUGAAGGGAGCUUGCUCCUGGAUUCAGCGGCGGACGGGUGAGUAAUGCCUAGGAAUCUGCCUGGUAGUGGGGGGUAACGUCCGGAAACGGGCGCUAAUACCGCAUACGUCCUGAGGGAGAAAGUGGGGGAUCUUCGGACCUCACGCUAUCAGAUGAGCCUAGGUCGGAUUAGCUAGUUGGUGGGGUAAAGGCCUACCAAGGCGACGAUCCGUAACUGGUCUGAGAGGAUGAUCAGUCGCACUGGAACUGAGACACGGUCCAGACUCCUACGGGAGGCAGCAGUGGGGAAUAUUGGACAAUGGGCGAAAGCCUGAUCCAGCCAUGCCGCGUGUGUGAAGAAGGUCUUCGGAUUGUAAAGCACUUUAAGUUGGGAGGAAGGGCAGUAAGUUAAUACCUUGCUGUUUUGACGUUACCAACAGAAUAAGCACCGGCUAACUUCGUG